CAGCACCUCAAGUGGUCAGGAUGAUUAUUGGGCCUAAAGCAUCCGUAGCCGGCGCUGUAAGUUUUCGGUUAAAUCUGUACGCUCAACGUACAGGCUGCCGGGAAUACUGCAGCGCUAGGGAGUGGGAGAGGUAGACGGUACUCGGUAGGAAGGGGUAAAAUCCUUUGAUCUAUUGAUGACCACCAGUGGCGAAGGCGGUCUACCAGAACACGUCCGACGGUGAGGGAUGAAAGCUGGGGGAGCAAACCGGAUUAGAGACCCGAGUAGUCC
This 270-nucleotide ribosomal RNA is filed under the name uncultured archaeon. Its description in RNAcentral is "partial 16S ribosomal RNA". It matches the Rfam family "Archaeal small subunit ribosomal RNA", at positions 477 to 747 of the family's 1478-position model. The record is from RNAcentral.